Molecule: ribosomal RNA, 247 nt
Filed under: uncultured bacterium
Lineage: Bacteria
Description: partial 16S ribosomal RNA
Rfam family: Bacterial small subunit ribosomal RNA
Source: RNAcentral
CACGCCGUAAACGAUGGAUACUAGUGGUAUGGAGAUUCGACCCUCUGUGUCACGAAGCUAACGCGAUAAGUAUCCCGCCUGGGGAGUACGAACGCAAGUUUAAAACUCAAAGGAAUUGACGGGGACCCGCACAAGCAGUGGAGGAUGGGGUUUAAUAUGACGCUAAGCGUAGAACCUUACCGAGGCUUGACAUCCUGGGAAUCUGAUCGAAAGAUCGGAGUGCCUUCGGGAAUCCAGUGACAGGUGC